This 303-nucleotide ribosomal RNA is filed under the name uncultured Microgenomates group bacterium. Its description in RNAcentral is "bacterial SSU rRNA". It matches the Rfam family "Bacterial small subunit ribosomal RNA", at positions 28 to 351 of the family's 1533-position model. The record is from RNAcentral.
GAUGAACGCUGGCGGCGUGCCUUAGGCAUGCAAGUCGAACGGUUUCCGUAAGGAAGCAGUGGCAGACGGGUGAGUAACGCGUAGGAAUCUACCUCUAGGUGGACCAUAGCUUAUCGAAAGAUGGGGUAAUAGUCCAUAAUCAAUUUAUUGUAAAGCAAUUAACUUUGCGCCAAGAGAUGAGCCUGCGUCCUAUCAGCUAGUUGGCGGGGUAAAUGCCCACCAAGGCGAUGACGGGUAGCUGGACUGAGAGGUCGAUCAGCCACAACUGCACUGAGACACGGGCAGUACACCUACGGGUGGCUG